This 497-nucleotide ribosomal RNA is filed under the name uncultured bacterium. RNAcentral's name for it is "partial 16S ribosomal RNA". It matches the Rfam family "Bacterial small subunit ribosomal RNA", at positions 28 to 507 of the family's 1533-position model. The record is from RNAcentral.
GAUGAACGCUGGCGGCGUGCCUAAUACAUGCAAGUCGAGCGAACGGACGAGAAGCUUGCUUCUCUGAUGUUAGCGGCGGACGGGUGAGUAACACGUGGAUAACCUACCUAUAAGACUGGGAUAACUUCGGGAAACCGGAGCUAAUACCGGAUAAUAUUUUGAACCGCAUGGUUCAAAAGUGAAAGACGGUCUUGCUGUCACUUCUAGCUGGAUCCGCGCUGCAUUAGCUAGUUGGUAAGGUAACGGCUUACCAAGGCAACGAUGCAUAGCCGACCUGAGAGGGUGAUCGGCCACACUGGAACUGAGACACGGUCCAGACUCCUACGGGAGGCAGCAGUAGGGAAUCUUCCGCAAUGGGCGAAAGCCUGACGGAGCAACGCCGCGUGAGUGAUGAAGGUCUUCGGAUCGUAAAACUCUGUUAUUAGGGAAGAACAUAUGUGUAAGUAACUGUGCACAUCUUGACGGUACCUAAUCAGAAAGCCACGGCUAACUACGUG